This 148-nucleotide non-coding RNA is filed under the name Nomascus leucogenys (northern white-cheeked gibbon). The record is from Rfam by way of RNAcentral. Lineage: Eukaryota; Metazoa; Chordata; Mammalia; Primates; Hylobatidae.
GCCGGGUGUGGUGGUGCGUGCCUGUAAUCCCAGCUUCUUGAGAGGCUGAGGCAGGAGAAUCGCUUGAACCCAGGAGGCAUACGUUGCAGUGAGCUGAGAUUGCACCAUUGCACUCUAGCCUGGGUGACAGAGUGAGAUUCUGUCUCAG